UGGUUGGGAAUGAAAAUUGGAGGAUUUGGGAGCUGAGGAUUGGGGCUCUCCUUCAGCCAUGCCAGGAUUGCGUAUGAAGGUAAUUGACUGCAGACAUCAUCAACCCUUUUGUUGAGGACCCUGUACUUUCUACAUAAACGAAAGGAACCUAAACCCCUUUGAUGAGGAUCAUGCACAGUGUCAUGGAACGAUAGGGUGACAUUCAUCCAACACAUAGCAUAGACAGGGAUGUAGCUCCCAGCCCUUCUACCCAGGAGGUAAACCUCAUUGUAAUUGUACAAAUUAGAUAGAAGCAAAAUGUUAUAUUAUUAUGUUAUUUUCUUAAGGGUUUUCAAGUAAUUUUGAUAAUGUUACUAAUAUUCUUGUCACAAAUGGAUGUUCGGGGAAAGGCACCUGCAUUACUUGAUGACAAUACAUCGGUGGACUCACUACUAUGCGAUGAUGACAUUGCAUAUUCCACAUACCCUGUCGCAAUGAUGAGAAAGAUCCAAAAAAAGGUUAAUAGAGAAAUUAGUGCUCUGGCAUACCAAGUCCCUAAAUUGAUGUAAUAAAAGAGAGGUUACAACAAUUGAUGCAGAGAGCACAAAACUUGCAAGUAAGCAGUAAUGAAAUCUUUAAUUAUAACAUAAGUUCACAAAAUGGUUUAUAUGUUGGCAUAUGCACACUCCAAUGAGACAUUGUAUGUGAUUGAAGGUUUUGUCAUUGAUGGCAACCUUGCAAUCUUAUGGCACCGGCAAAGGCAUUAUACUGGCAUUAGUAGAUCACACUCUACACCGGUACUCGGGACACCGGCACUGACACAGAAGAAAGGAAGUAUACCGGCACAGAGGCCGACAGGAUUUUGUUAUAUUAUAUUUUGUUUAUUAUUGUAAAAAUGUGUAAGCCGACUUGGCAACUUGUAAAAUGACUCUUAUAAAAGAGAUCAUUGUAGACAUUUGUGAUGAUGUAGAAGUAUUAUAGGAAAAUAUUAAGCAGACCUAUUGUGCGAAAUUUAGGUCAAAAGGUAUAUGUAAAUAACAGAGCAGGAACAGGUACUAAAUCUAGCAUUGAAGAUGCUAUUGUAAAGCAGUACAAUAUAUUGGAUUUGUAUAAUCCUUAUUGUAAGUCAGUGAGACUUCCCAUUGAGCAGUGAGCUCUAGGCAGAUGGCCUUCCUGCAUGUGCAGGCCCCUAUUGUAAGCAAUAUUCUCUUA
Molecule: long non-coding RNA, 1191 nt
Organism: Cryptomeria japonica (Japanese cedar)
Lineage: Eukaryota; Viridiplantae; Streptophyta; Pinopsida; Cupressales; Cupressaceae
Exons: 4
Source: RefSeq, a predicted model, not a curated record